This 400-nucleotide ribosomal RNA is filed under the name uncultured bacterium. RNAcentral's name for it is "bacterial SSU rRNA". It matches the Rfam family "Bacterial small subunit ribosomal RNA", at positions 359 to 776 of the family's 1533-position model. The record is from RNAcentral.
GAAUAUUGGACAAUGGGCGCAAGCCUGAUCCAGCAAUGCCGCAUGAGUGAUGAAGGCCCUAGGGUUGUAAAGCUCUUUUACCCGGGAUGAUAAUGACAGUACCGGGAGAAUAAGCCCCGGCUAACUCCGUGCCAGCAGCCGCGGUAAUACGGAGGGGGCUAGCGUUGUUCGGAAUUACUGGGCGUAAAGCGCGCGUAGGCGGAUUGUUAAGUCGGGGGUGAAAUCCCGGGGCUCAACCCCGGAACUGCCUCCGAUACUGGCAGUCUUGAGUCCGAGAGAGGUGAGUGGAAUUCCGAGUGUAGAGGUGAAAUUCGUAGAUAUUCGGAGGAACACCAGUGGCGAAGGCGGCUCACUGACUCGGUACUGACGCUGAGGUGCGAAAGCGUGGGGAGCAAACAGG